GAGAAGGCUACUAGCAGAGCAUUGCAUCUGUGGAGGGAUGGUGCCAAGUUGCAUCUCAGAACUGUACUGCCUCCAACAUUUUGCUCACGGGUUACUGACUGGAAAGUUGCUUUGCUGUCACACCUGCUGCCACUGGAGCAGGGAGGAUAGAAGAAUAAAGACCCGAAGCGUGUUUGGGGCCAGCAAGAAAUCUCAGAUGGUAAAGGCUUUGCUGCCAAGCUUCAUGAUCAAGUUCAGCCCACAGGACUCUUACAGUGAAAGGAGAGAAUUGACUGGGGCAGUUUGUCUUCUGACCUCCACAUGUACACCAUGGUAUGAAAGCACAUGUGUACAAACAUGCACAUAAGCUAUAUGUGUGUAUGUGACUUUUUUAAGUUCGUCUCUUUAUCCAUCUCCAGAACAAGCUUAAACAUUAAAACCACAUGUGGCAUUUUGUGUGAGAGAA
RNAcentral lists this long non-coding RNA (445 nucleotides) under Rattus norvegicus (Norway rat). RNAcentral describes it as "long non-coding RNA NONRATT001199". The record is from RNAcentral. Lineage: Eukaryota; Metazoa; Chordata; Mammalia; Rodentia; Muridae.